GAUGAACGCUGGCGGCGUGCCUAAUACAUGCAAGUCGAGCGAACAGACGAGGAGCUUGCUCCUCUGACGUUAGCGGCGGACGGGUGAGUAACACGUGGAUAACCUACCUAUAAGACUGGGAUAACUUCGGGAAACCGGAGCUAAUACCGGAUAAUAUAUUGAACCGCAUGGUUCAAUAGUGAAAGACGGUUUUGCUGUCACUUCUAGAUGGAUCCGCGCCGCAUUAGCUGGUUGGUAAGGUAACGGCUUACCAAGGCAACCAUGCGUAGCCGACGUGAGGGGGGGGUCGGCCACACUGGAACGGAGACACGGUCCAGACUCCUACGGGAGGCAGCAGUAGGGAAUCUUCCGCAAUGGGGGAAAGCCUGACGGAGCGAGGCCGCGUGAGUGAUGAAGGUCUUCGGAUCGUAAAACUCUGUUAUUAGGGAAGAACAAAUGUGUAAGUAACUAUGCACGUCUUGACGGUACCUAGUCAGAAAGCCACGGCUAACUACGUG
This 497-nucleotide ribosomal RNA is filed under the name uncultured bacterium. RNAcentral's name for it is "partial 16S ribosomal RNA". It matches the Rfam family "Bacterial small subunit ribosomal RNA", at positions 28 to 507 of the family's 1533-position model. The record is from RNAcentral.